This 66-nucleotide transfer RNA is filed under the name Pteropus dasymallus (Ryukyu flying fox). Its description in RNAcentral is "tRNA-Pro". The record is from RNAcentral. Lineage: Eukaryota; Metazoa; Chordata; Mammalia; Chiroptera; Pteropodidae.
UCAAGGAAUAGUUUAAGUAGAAUAUCAGCUUUGGGUGUUGAUGGUGGAACUUGAGUUUCUUCCUUG